RNAcentral lists this ribosomal RNA (408 nucleotides) under uncultured bacterium. RNAcentral describes it as "partial 16S ribosomal RNA". It matches the Rfam family "Bacterial small subunit ribosomal RNA", at positions 28 to 526 of the family's 1533-position model. The record is from RNAcentral.
GACGAACGCUGGCGGCGUGCUUAACACAUGCAAGUCGAACGAAGUGGCGAACGGGUGAGUAACGCGUAAUCAACCUGCCCUUCAGAGGGGGACAACAGUUGGAAACGACUGCUAAUACCGCAUACUGAAGGAGGGGAUUGCGUCUGAUUUGCGAGUUGGGGGGGGAACGGCCCACCAAGGCGAUGAGCAGUAGCCGGUCUGGGAGGAUUGACGGGCACAAUGGGACUGGGACACGGGCCAGACUCCUAAGGGAGGCAGCAGUGGGGAAUCAUCCGCAAUGGACGAAAGUCUGGCGGAGCAACGCCGCGUGAGGGAUGACGGCCUUCGGGUUGUAAAGCUCUGUUAAUCGGGACGCGGUACCGGAAUAGAAAGCCACGGCUAACUACGUGCCAGCAGCCGCGGUAAUAC